AUGGGGGCCGCCUUCUUAACAGACGCCUCAAGCCACCUCCGGCUUCCCACACCGCUGCCGGGAACGGGGAAUAGCGCCAAGUACCCUAUGCGGAUCGCCAAGUUCGACUACGCGGCUAUGACCUCAGAUUUGGACCACAAGCGCCAAAUACCCCUUCGGAUACGCAAGUCCCUCGAAGGUCCACUGAUGCCUAGUACGACUCUAGGACCGGAACAAAGUACUACGAUGACCGUUGAUAUGUACCAUUACACCGCACCGAAACGCCAAGACCGUCCGGAUAUUGCCAAGUACCAUGACACCCAUGUUCCAUCAAGUUCGACUACAACGACUACAACAUGUACCACUACCGUUGCCGACAACCCGUGUACCAUAAGAAGCAAGUUCGACUACCGUCGCAUGAACCACUACUUCCACUACGACCCAUGA
RNAcentral lists this ribosomal RNA (426 nucleotides) under Triticum aestivum (bread wheat). RNAcentral describes it as "partial small subunit ribosomal RNA". Lineage: Eukaryota; Viridiplantae; Streptophyta; Magnoliopsida; Poales; Poaceae. The record is from RNAcentral.